Molecule: non-coding RNA, 99 nt
Filed under: Rhizobium aethiopicum
Lineage: Bacteria; Pseudomonadati; Pseudomonadota; Alphaproteobacteria; Hyphomicrobiales; Rhizobiaceae
Also listed under: 1 other name
Source: RNAcentral
GAGAGCCGGAUGCGUAACGAAAGGCGCACGUCCGGUUCGGCGAGAGGCGAUGAGAGACCACCCGCUGCGAGGCGGCUAGGCGCUCAUCGCCUACUCUAC